This 253-nucleotide ribosomal RNA is filed under the name uncultured bacterium. RNAcentral's name for it is "partial 16S ribosomal RNA". It matches the Rfam family "Bacterial small subunit ribosomal RNA", at positions 524 to 776 of the family's 1533-position model. The record is from RNAcentral.
UACAGAGGGGGCAAGCGUUGUUCGGAAUUACUGGGCGUAAAGGGCUCGUAGGCGGCCAACUAAGUCAGACGUGAAAUCCCUCGGCUCAACUGAGGAACUGCACGGGAAACUGACGGGCUUGAGUUCGGGAGAGGGAAGCGGAAUUCCGGGUGUAGCGGUGAAAUGCGUAGAUAUCCGGAGGAACACCGGUGGCGAAGGCGGCUUCCUGGACCGACACUGACGCUGAGGCGCGAAAGCUAGGGGAGCAAACGGG